AUUGAACGCUGGCGGCAGGCUUAACACAUGCAAGUCGAGCGGGGGAAGGUAGCUUGCUACCGGACCUAGCGGCGGACGGGUGAGUAAUGCUUAGGAAUCUGCCUAUUAGUGGGGGACAACAUCUCGAAAGGGAUGCUAAUACCGCAUACGUCCUACGGGAGAAAGCAGGGGAUCUUCGGACCUUGCGCUAAUAGAUGAGCCUAAGUCGGAUUAGCUAGUUGGUGGGGUAAAGGCCUACCAAGGCGACGAUCUGUAGCGGGUCUGAGAGGAUGAUCCGCCACACUGGGACUGAGACACGGCCCAGACUCCUACGGGAGGCAGCAGUGGGGAAUAUUGGACAAUGGGGGGAACCCUGAUCCAGCCAUGCCGCGUGUGUGAAGAAGGCCUUAUGGUUGUAAAGCACUUUAAGCGAGGAGGAGGCUACUUUAGUUAAUACCUAGAGAUAGUGGACGUUACUCGCAGAAUAAGCACCGGCUAACUCUGUGCCAGCAGCCGCGGUAAUACAGAGGGUGCGAGCGUUAAUCGGAUUUACUGGGCGUAAAGCGUGCGUAGGCGGCUUAUUAAGUCGGAUGUGAAAUCCCCGAGCUUAACUUGGGAAUUGCAUUCGAUACUGGUGAGCUAGAGUAUGGGAGAGGAUGGUAGAAUUCCAGGUGUAGCGGUGAAAUGCGUAGAGAUCUGGAGGAAUACCGAUGGCGAAAGCAGCCAUCUGGCCUAAUACUGACGCUGAUGUACGAAAGCAUGGGGAGCAA
This 749-nucleotide ribosomal RNA is filed under the name Acinetobacter baumannii Naval-81. RNAcentral describes it as "bacterial SSU rRNA". It matches the Rfam family "Bacterial small subunit ribosomal RNA", at positions 28 to 771 of the family's 1533-position model. Lineage: Bacteria; Pseudomonadati; Pseudomonadota; Gammaproteobacteria; Moraxellales; Moraxellaceae. The record is from RNAcentral.